RNAcentral lists this ribosomal RNA (497 nucleotides) under uncultured bacterium. RNAcentral describes it as "partial 16S ribosomal RNA". It matches the Rfam family "Bacterial small subunit ribosomal RNA", at positions 28 to 507 of the family's 1533-position model. The record is from RNAcentral.
GAUGAACGCUGGCGGCGUGCCUAAUACAUGCAAGUCGAGCGAACAGACGAGGAGCUUGCUCCUCUGACGUUAGCGGCGGACGGGUGAGUAACACGUGGAUAACCUACCUAUAAGACUGGGAUAACUUCGGGAAACCGGAGCUAAUACCGGAUAAUAUAUUGAACCGCAUGGUUCAAUAGUGAAAGACGGUUUUGCUGUCACUUAUAGAUGGAUCCGCGCCGCAUUAGCUAGUUGGUAAGGUAACGGCUUACCAAGGCAACGAUGCGUAGCCGACCUGAGAGGGUGAUCGGCCACACUGGAGCUGAGACACGGUCCAGACUCCUACGGGAGGCAGCAGUAGGGAAUCUUCCGCAAUGGGCGAAAGCCUGACGGAGCAACGCCGCGUGGGUGAUGAAGGUCUUCGGAUCGUAAAACUCUGUUAUUAGGGAAGAACAAAUGUGUAAGUAACUAUGCACGUCUUGACGGUACCUAAUCAGAAAGCCACGGCUAACUACGUG